GAUGAACGCUGGCGGCGUGCCUAAUACAUGCAAGUCGAGCGAACAGACGAGGAGCUUGCUCCUCUGACGUUAGCGGCGGACGGGUGAGUAACACGUGGAUAACCUACCUAUAAGACUGGGAUAACUUCGGGAAACCGGAGCUAAUACCGGAUAAUAUAUUGAACCGCAUGGUUCAAUAGUGAAAGACGGUUUUGCUGUCACUUAUAGAUGGAUCCGCGCCGCAUUAGCUAGUUGGUAAGGUAACGGCUUACCAAGGCAACGAUGCGUAGCCGACCUGAGAGGGUGAUCGGCCACACUGGAGCUGAGACACGGUCCAGACUCCUACGGGAGGCACCAGUAGGGAAUCUUCCGCAAUGGGCGAAAGCCUGACGGAGCAACGCCGCGUGAGUGAUGAAGGUCUUCGGAUCGUAAAACUCUGUUAUUAGGGAAGAACAAAUGUGUAAGUAACUAUGCACGUCUUGACGGUACCUAAUAAGAAAGCCACGGCUAACUACGUG
Molecule: ribosomal RNA, 497 nt
Filed under: uncultured bacterium
Lineage: Bacteria
Description: partial 16S ribosomal RNA
Rfam family: Bacterial small subunit ribosomal RNA
Source: RNAcentral